GCCGGGCGUGGUGGCUCAUGCCUGUAAUCUCAGCACUUCGGGAGGCUGAGGCGGGCGGAUCACCUGAGGUCAGGAGUUCGAGACCAGCCUGGCCAACAUGGUGAAACCCCGUCUCUA
Molecule: non-coding RNA, 117 nt
Filed under: Pan paniscus (pygmy chimpanzee)
Lineage: Eukaryota; Metazoa; Chordata; Mammalia; Primates; Hominidae
Also listed under: 1 other name
Source: Rfam by way of RNAcentral